CCUACCCCGGAAGUAAUUCUGGGCGUUGUAAUUAUCCGGUUUUUGCGACGCUAUACGCAGAUAUUGCCCGGGGCUAGACCACAAACCGUACUAUUAAAGGAUUCUUACCUACGAACUUCUGGGGGGUGGAACGCUUGCGUUUGGUGAGGCUGUUGGCCAGCCGAUCAAUGAAGGUUGGCCGCUCAGAGGAUGAGUGCAACAUGGAGUCUGGCACCAUCUCCAGGUCACGUAUCUCAUCACCUGGGGGGAAGGAGGUGGAGACAAGUAAUAGCUGAAUGGGGGUAGCAUUAGCCCAGCAGCCUUUGCCUGGAGAAAAUCAGCAGGUCGGUAGCCAAGGAAGGUCAUACCCGAUACCUGGAAAACUAGGUUCUGCUCACUCCCCGCCCAUCCAGAGCUCAUCCUAGCAACAUUUCAAGUAACUUAAGGACAAUUAUGUACAUGUGACCCUUGAUUUUAUACUUCCUUGUGUUUUCUCUCUCCCAUUACACUGAGGACAUAGAUCAAAUCCUCUCUGACCCCUGGAUCUCCCUGCAGCACCUACCACAGGGCUUUGCACCGACUGGAGGGCUUGGCAGAUUUACUGAGGUAACUGUCCUUUUCCCACAGUCGCAUCCCUUUGUGAAGAGGGGGUAGAUGCUGGAAUCAUCCUGGUCCUGCACUCCCUCUGACCCAGCCCUCAACUCCCCCACAGGCCUGCCUACAGCCCUACCUGCUUGGCCAGCCAGAGCUUGGGCUUCAGUGCUGAGACUCUGUAGGUAGUUGUGGCACCGCUCUUUGUGCUCCUCCAGGGUACUCUGCUGUUUGUAGCUCCGGCCACAGUAGUUACACUUGUAGGGCUUGCCCACCGUGGGAGAGGAGACUGUGGAGGAGACAGGAGACGGAUGGCAUGAGUUACUUCUCCCUGUACCCUGGCUCUACAAAACCAUCCAGGAGCAAAGGCUCAUGGGCUUGAGGAGGAAGGGAUGUCGCUCAGAUUUUAUUUUUAAGUAAUCUGGGGCUAGAACUUACAGCCCCAAGAUCAAGAGUCACAUGCUUCACCAGCUGAGCCAGCCAGGCACCUCUACUGCUUAUUUUUCUGUCUCUCUACACUGAGAUACCAAGAGAGCCCCAGAACAACUAUCACUGAUAGAGAAAUUCCGAGAAGAGAAAAAGAAUAAAAGGACAGAGAGGAGAAUAAAGGAGAUGAGUAAAAGGAAGAGAAACAACAACUUUGAGGGCCUUUAAAAAUUUUUUCAAAAUAAAGAACAAGUUAUAAAGAUUUUUUCUGGGGUGUCUGGCUGGCUUAAUUGGGAGCGCAUGCGACCCUUCAUCUCAGUGUUGUGAGUUCAAGCCUCAUGGUGACUGUACAGAUUACUUAAAGAAAAAAAAGAAGAUUUUGUUUCUACUGAAGAAGUCAGGAAAACUGAGAUGGACACUUCAUUUAAAGACAACUUUUGAGAGAUGAUAUUUGUGACAGGAGAAGGAAAGUGAGAGAAACAAGAGUUUCAGUAUCCUUGUCAGCAAAACAAGGAUAAUGCCAUCUACCUUAGAGUCGUUAUGAGGAUCACAUGAAAAGACAAGCAAAAUGCUUUGUGGAUUAUAAAGCCUGAAUCAACGAUGACCUUUCUCCCUGUUUCUCUACUCACCUCCAAGGUAACUGACCCGAGUGUGUCCGGAGGUGGCCAGUGAGAGCAUCGCGCCGGCGGCAGGCGUAGUUACAGAAGGGACAUUUGAAAGGCUUCUCCCCAGAGUGAAGUUUGAUGUGGCGCAGCAGGUUCCCCUUCUGGGUGAAGGAGGCGCCACACUGGUUGCAGUGGAAGGGCCUUUCACCUGCAAGAGAAAGAACAGAUCUCUGAGGACUGCAUGUGAGGAAUUUUGAAGGCUGAACCUCUUCUGUCACCCUCUGCCCCACCCUGCCUAAGGGACGGUGCUCAGAACAAUUACUGAGAGGCAGAGCUGUGGCACGCACAGGAAAUUCCUGCUUUCUAAAGAUUCUCUUGGGAAGAGCCUUACCCUGGGAAGGUGUGGAUCAGGAUGAAUGGCAGGGCAAAGGGCACCAGGCCUGGAACUCUGGGCCAAAAGAUCAUUAACCCAAAACUGAGCCUUAUAAGACCCACUCUGCCCCUGGAGCCCAAAGGCUGAGAAAGCUGAGAAGAGGCUUUUGUUUUCCUUUUCUUUGUUUGUGUAUGUUUGUUUGUCUAAAUCAACAGGGCCCAAACAGGGUCCUACCCCUGUUGGGCUGUAGGAUUCAUCCUGAGGCUACAUCUACCUCUCCCUCACCUCCUGAGAAAAAUACCAGCUUUUCUUUAUAACAACAGCUGAUGAGAGUGCCAAAGAAGUACAGUGUGGAGGGAAUCGAAACGCCAUCCCCCCUUUCUUUCAUUGGCUAGAAAAUGUGCUGGGAGAGACUCUUCCCUUUCUGAGGCUGUCCCACUGCAUUGUGGGCCUCUGCCUUUCCAGCCUACCCUGGGAGCUCCUCCUCAACCCCCUGGCUUACUCACCCGUGUGGCUGCGCUUAUGCACCAUGAGCACAUUGGGUCCGAUACAGACCAUGCCGCAGACAUCACAUUUGAGCUUGCCAUUGGGCAGCCGGAUGCCCCCGGGGGAGUGAGGCUCUGGCCCACUUCCAUCACAGUAGCCCAGGGGCUCUGACAACGAGUCUUCCACGAUCACACUGUCGUCCUUUUCUAGGAGCCGCUCAUCUGGCCCCAGCAGUCUGCUCGACUCCUCAUCGCUGUACAUCUCCACCUUGAUGGAGUUGGCUGAAGGGUGGGAUGGUGUUUAGGACAGAGACAGGCAAAGGGGGAACCUGCCCGCAGACCAGAAUGUCACUCCCAAUGUCCAGAAGGCUUUCUCCCGGCCCUGAGACACGUGGGCUUUAAAAGUGGCCAAUACCCUCGGUAUCCUUGGUGGUGAUAUGGCACUCCUGCUGGGACCUGAAACAACCUUUUCCUUCUAUCUCACCACCCAGGCAAAUAGGCUUCAAGAGAAAGAAGUUGGGGUACAUUGGAUGUCUUCUGUCCCACUGGGGAGAGGAGGAGGCUAAGGAGAGCCUUUUUCUCCACUCUCUUGUCAUAAAGAAAGACGUCUGGCUUGGCCCUGGGCAGGAAGCCAGCAAGUAACAGUGGCGGGAAAAUGGUCCUAGGAAGACCAAAGAGACGGCAGGCUAAAGAGAGAGCAAAACUGGAAGACAGACAUGCCUCACAUUAUCCUCCCUCCCCAUAAGAGUGAACCCCCUCUACUCCCCUCCAUUAAAAUCUGGAGAGGGGGAUGAAGGAGGGAGGAGCCACUGAGGAGUAAGCUUUGGCUCUAGCUCUGACCUACAUUGCUGGCUAUUCCAACCAUUUAGAGAAUGUCACAGAUCUAGGGCCAGCUAGAAGAGGCAGUAAUGGGGACCCUGUCCGGGCAGGAGAAUGGGGGUGGGGCUGGGUUGGUGGUGAUGAGGAGAUCCCUCUCAUCUCUGUUUCCUGUCUGACUCUAGCUUGUGACCAUUCCUAUGUCCUUGCUUGUCCAACUCCAGGGUUUCUCUUUGGAGACUUUAGCUUAAUCCCACCCGUGCUUCUUUUAAUUCUACCCUUAUCUGGGAGAGACCACUCUCCUUCCAGAAGUCAGAAGGACCCUAGAUGCUGAACUCCUUAGUGUUUUAGAGGCUGUAUGCAGGAAACCAGAGGGAGGCAGCAAUGGGGAAAUGGCUGCCAGUGGAGGGUGAACUGAGGGCCAAACACAAACAGGGUGCCUAGCGCCAGGGCAGGGCAGGAGAUUGCACUUACCACUGAGGGAGCGGCUGGGAGAAGAGUGCUGGCUGUUGGGGGUGCUCACCGAGGGCCCCACCGGGGCCCCAAGGAACUCCUUCUCCAGAGAUGAGUCCCCGCUACCUUGGAGGAGAGAAUAAGAGGACAGGUGAAGCUGCAGCCGGGCCUUUUACUGUCCAUUGCCUCACCUUUUCAAAAUUCUGUUAUGCUUUGCAAACACUCAUCUUGUAGCCAUGUACAAGGCAGUGUUAUACGUUCAGCACCAUACCUUGUGAUGAAGUUUUGGGGUGAUGGUGGGGUGGUCCAGAGCUGACGGCCAAGAAAGAAUUCUUGAAGAUGUCUUUGGUGCAAAAAGGUGAUUUUAUGAAAGCACGGGGACAGGACCCGUGGGCAGGAAGAGCUGCACUGGGGUUGCUACGGGUAACUGAUUAUAUACCCUCAGAUUGGGAGGGGGUUAGGGACAGAGUAAGUCUCCAAGGAAUUUUGGAAGCAAGCUUUCCAGGACUUCAAGGGGCCAGCUACUGUUAGGAAAAUGCCAUUUAUUACCAUUUAGUAAAAUCUCAAUCAUGAGACCCUUCAGAUGUAUAUCAGAGGACCAUAAGCUUGGGGUAUGAUUGCCAGCAUAUAUCUUGGGGGAGUUGAGAUAAAGGAAGUUUCCAAAGGAAUUUUUAUAUGUUAAAGUAGACUUACAGGAUCCUGGGGGUUGGGAUAAUUUUAAGCUAAGAUUCUCUUUUGCCCAUAGCAAAGUGUCAUCAUCGAGGCAGCUGAGCUCUAGAGGAAGGUCACUCUGCCUGUUUCAAGGACUUGUCAAUGGGCUGUAGGCAGUAAGGGAAUUUAAUUUUUCAUUUGCCUUUGUUUCCCACAUCACCAUGGUAAGCACUUAAGCCCCUUUCCUUUGUUCUUGGGUAGCCAGGAGUGUCUGAGGAAUAGCACAUAUAUUCCACCUCGGGUGGGGGGGAGUGGCCCAGGAGGCUAGCUUGUACUUUGUCCUCAGCUUAACUUAUGCUCCCUCAUCACCUUGUGCCCUUGUCAGCCUGGUGCCCAGUGCUGACUUCUGCAAGCUCAGUGGCUGCAUCUUGUUCACCCUACCUUUUUCUAGGCCUGAGGGGAAGAGCAUCACUGCCUGACAUCUACAGGAAGGAAGGCUGAGGCUGGGCGGGCCAGGGUGGAGAGGAAAAUGGGGGCCUCAAAAGGGAGGUGGUUCAGGACAGAUGCUCUUCCCUAUUGUUCCUCUCCGGAGCCCCCAGCACCCAGGUUCGGGAUCUGUAGGAAGGGCAGCUGGAAUUGUCCCUGAGUCUAAUGAUAAUAAAAGUGAUCAUAAUGACAGCUGCUAACACUUAUGAGUGUUAUUGAGUGCUUAUUUUGUGCCAGGUAUUGUUCUGUGCACUUUAUGUGAACAACCCUGUUGAAGCAGGUGCCAAUAUUGUCUUAAUUUUUCAGAUGAGAAAACUGAAGCACAAAAGAGGCUGUGUUACUUGUCCAAGGUGACAUAGCUGGUAGUGGUGGAACCCGGAUGGAACAUAAACAGACCUGGGACCUGAAGUGUAGCCCGGUGAUUAUUAGCAAGACAGAACUUUUCACCUGCAUGGGAGUGAGCAGUUCAGGUACUGCAAGUAAACCAAACCCACAGCAUCAUCCUCUCCUGUCUGUACCUCCAUGAACUGAAUGAAAGCGACACAAAAACAUGUUGGAGUCACAUAGCUGGUUCUGUGGUCUAUCAGGGCUUUGCAUAACUGGGGACAGGAAAGAAGUAAAUGGUUGAGGGAAGAGAUGGAAUAAGGCAUUGUCUGCAGCCUGACUACGUGCCCCUUUCCAGGAAACAGACCUUGACAUUGAGCAAUCUGCAGCUCUGAAAUGAUCUUUGGGUCAACCUAGUACUCUCUGAAGGAAACCCACCAACCUUUUCUCAGCUCAUGUGUCUGUCUUUAUAGCAGAAAGGUCUGACUCAUUUUUUUCACCAGGCUGUAGAUGAUGACCUUCUGUCUACAUAUAAGACAGACGAAGACAGCUCAGCUUCAUUAUCCAAGUGCUUGGGGAGCAGUGCUGAGGGGAUGAAUUCCCAGGUAAUCCUAGGAAUGACCAGUCUCUAAAAAAAGAAGGGGUAUGAGCUGGAAACACAACAUCUGGGGAGUGGGAAAAUAUCACCUCAUUGUCUCCUUUUAGAUCUCAGAAGGAUGAAUAUUUUCUCUUGUUCUUUGCGCUUCCCUGUCCUCCCCACGUAGACUGCAGAAGAGAGAGAAGGCUAAGGUUUAUAGGUGGGAGGAGAAACAAUCGUACCCCUCCCAUGUCUCAUUUUAGGACUUAAGAAACUAUGGAGGGGCUAAACUAAACAGGUAAAUCACUAGGUGAUGCGCACGAGCUGAUACUCCCUGGGUUUGUGGUAUACCCUGAAGUAUUUGAGCCCUGUGUUUAUAGAAAGGCCCCACAAAGUCACUGCUAUUCAACUGUAUGUUUGGGUAAAGGUGAGAAAAGUAGGCCAGCAGUGUUCGAUUUGAGUUUCUUAAUAAUUAGUUUUGAAGCCAAAGAUGCCCCUAACAAAGUUAGCUCAAGUGAAGUUUGAAAUUACGUGGAAGGUUCAGUGAACUAUCCUGACUGGUAAAGAGUAGCAAAAAGGGGGAAGAGAUGGGAACAAUUGCCUUUGGUGGCAGUCCUGACCAGAAGUCUCUAAUGCAUGCUGAUCAACAGGGCUCACUGUUGUUUGGGCGGGACAGAUAUUUUCAGGCUCCUCUGCUAACAAAGAAUCUUGCCCUGACAAGUAAGCCUCUCUUCUUGUGGAGGGCCUAGGGCAGGAAUGUUGUAGGACCUGGGGAAUCUUGCAGCUAGAAUGGAGUUGAGAGAUGAUCUCCAAUCUCUUGUUUUUUAACAGAAGAAGAAACUAAGCUGAGUCACCUAUCUGGUUAGUGACAGAAUUAAGACCAAAUAGAACCCAGGUUAUCAGUCUGGUAACCAGUCUUUCUACUACAGCCCAAAGUUAAAUUUUGCCACAGUGGGAAGGUUUGGGACCACCCAUGCUUACCUUCCUUCUCGGAUGUUGAAAUGAAAAGUUUGGGGGUCUGCAUCUUGUGGCUUAAAUCCUUAAACUAGAAACACUGGUUUAUGGAUGGAAGAAAAAAUAAUCCUCUCCCUCCCAUGUCUCUUUUUAGAGAUUAUGAGCCUGAGGGAAAUGCCAACCUAGGCCCUUACUAGGUCUCUUUAAGGUAGAAACAGAGCUCCUUGGCUCAAGGAUUACACCAGCAUAUGUAUUCCAGCAGAGUCUACAAGGUUGAUGCCACUCCCACUGGUGGGGUAGGAGGGGACAGGCCAUUCAUAUCAGCACUAUCCUUUCUUAGAUGCUUUCGUCAGAUAAACCUUGAAAUUAUCUCCCUGUUUCCAAUACAGAAUCUACAACUCUUCUGAGAAGGAGGCAAAUCAAACAGCUGGGAAUUCAGAGCCUUCUUUAGGCAGGGUCAUGACACCAACAAAGAAAGAGAGUCCCUCUGCCUGUAGCAUUGUCUACACCCACAGAGCUCCACAUUCUUAUUUGUUCUUGUAGAGUAAAAUGAGCCCAGAAAUACCUGCCCUACAAUAAUUUGUCUUCAUUUUUCCUUGGUUAUUUUGUGUGUAUGUUGAAGGAAAAAAGAUGGCCAGUUUGGGAGAAAAUAAUUUCUUUGUGGAUGUUAGUAGGAGGUAAAAGGUGGGAUAAUGUUCCUCCCACACUGGGAAGUACAAGCUGCAGAUUUAAACUAGGAGAAAAUAAAGAAGAAAUGUUCAGUUGCA
Neofelis nebulosa (Clouded leopard) is the source of this 7487-nucleotide long non-coding RNA. RefSeq lists it as uncharacterized. NCBI's taxonomy places the organism in Eukaryota, Metazoa, Chordata, Mammalia, Carnivora, Felidae. The record is from RefSeq and is a predicted model, not a curated record. The transcript is spliced from 6 exons.